AAUAAAUUGCCUGUCAUCACCGAAACAACCUAGAGGAGGAGUAUGAUUCUUCAAUCUCGACCGCGACGGUGAUGGAUUACUCCGGCGGGGCCAGCGGGGAUGGGGCGUAGUGAAGCUAUCAGAGAUGUAUUGCAGCGCACGGAGGCUGCUGCUCUCAGCCCACGUUGAGCGGCUCGCCUCGGUGCCGCUAGCUCGUCGGCGCAGCAGGCCCGGUGGCAGUUGACGGGUGUGGAGGGAGGUGGGGUAGAUCCUGUGUGUGUGUGCUGAUGGACAGGCUCUAGCGCUCAAUCCCUGCCAAGGGCCAGCGUGAUCUCUGGAAGAGGUUUGGUCCGGGCAUGGUUGGUGAUUCCCAGGGUUGCCGGUCUUGAUCUGUGUUGUCCAAUGCUUUUUUUUAUUACACUUGAAGGCGCCUGUGAUUGGGGUGCAAGCCAGACCUGAGGGACGACCAACAGAACAUGCUUGAGAAGACGAUGGCACCCAUCAUGCAGUCGUUCCAUGGGAUCGUGACCUGCAUUGAGAUUUCAGUGUUCUGGGCUUCGCCAGACCGAGAUCAAAAAGACCCCCAUUGUAUCAAUUUACAUUGGUAACACUUUAUUAUGUCAAAUCGUUGAUUGUUCACAAUAACACUGGAAUGCUUAAAAUAUUCGCGUAGUUGCUCGGCCCUCAUGUAAUAUUCCAACAGUGCAUUUUUUGUAAUUUUGAUUGUUCGUAAGAGUUCUAGAUACUAUGCUCGAGUAGAGUAGGUUUACUAUAACAGAUUGUUUAGGAAUCACAAGUGCAGAAGGUCUUCUACCAUCCGCGCGCGGUGUGAGGGUGAAGCAAAUAUUCAUUCUAUGUGACCACGACAGGGAUGAAACAGGGCAACAAGAUUCAGGUAUAUGAUUUGAGGUUUGUAGUGGAGAAGAGCUGUGAGAACCUUCAGUUGCUUUGUUUUAUUGCAACACAUGGACAAUUAUCUUUUCUUUUUGGCGAUCACAGGGAGACAAAUAUUGUGGCAAUCAAGUCGGGGGUUCAUGGCAAGGUAUUGACAAUUUUUUAUCAAAAGCAGUUUGCUACACACUGAAGUGUGACAGAAAAUCCGUUUUGAAAAAAGUGUGACAGAAAAGGUGUGCUACUGUUUCCACAUCUCCUUUUGCGAAUCACUAAUGUUUUUCCCAUGUCUUUUCUUCCUUUUUGUAUUGACCCAGAAAUAGUUUCGGCAUUGGAGUCAGUUUCUUUGAUGUUUUCAUUGUUCUUAUCAGGAAGUGUGAAGUGAAAUUGUGGAAAUUUUCCC
Long non-coding RNA from Triticum aestivum (bread wheat), 1273 nucleotides. RefSeq lists it as uncharacterized. The record is from RefSeq and is a predicted model, not a curated record. The transcript has 4 exons. Lineage: Eukaryota; Viridiplantae; Streptophyta; Magnoliopsida; Poales; Poaceae.